RNAcentral lists this ribosomal RNA (221 nucleotides) under Ceratobasidium sp. Its description in RNAcentral is "partial large subunit ribosomal RNA". The record is from RNAcentral. Lineage: Eukaryota; Fungi; Basidiomycota; Agaricomycetes; Cantharellales; Ceratobasidiaceae.
AAACGCUUGAAGUCAGUCGCGUUCUCUGGGAUUCAGCCUUGCUUCUGCUUGGUGCAUUUCCUAGUUUACGGGCCAACAUGAAUUUUGACCAGUGGAAAAGGAUUUGGGGAAUGUGGCACCUCCGGGUGUGUUAUAGCCCCUUGUCGCAUACAUUGGUUGGGAUUGAGGUUUCAGUGCACGCUUCUGUUGUGCUUUGAUGUUGGCGUAAUGGCUUUAAACGA